Molecule: ribosomal RNA, 373 nt
Filed under: uncultured bacterium
Lineage: Bacteria
Description: bacterial SSU rRNA
Rfam family: Bacterial small subunit ribosomal RNA
Source: RNAcentral
AUACGGAGGAUGCAAGCGUUAUCCGGAUUUAUUGGGUUUAAAGGGUGCGCAGGUUGUUUGGUAAGUCAGUGGUGAAAGUCUGUCGCUUAACGACAGGAUUGCCAUUGAUACUGUUAAACUUGAGUAUGGGUGAGGUAUUCGGAAUGUGUAGUGUAGCGGUGAAAUGCAUAGAUAUUACACAGAACGCCGAUUGCGGAGGCAGGAUACUAGGCCAUUACUGACGCUGAGGCACGAAAGCGUGGGGAUCAAACAGGAUUAGAUACCCUGGUAGUCCACGCCGUAAACGAUGAUCACUCGCUGUUUGCGAUAUACAGUAAGCGGCUGAGCGAAAGCAAUAAGUGAUCCACCUGGGGAGUACGAUCGCAAGGUUGAA